This 253-nucleotide ribosomal RNA is filed under the name uncultured bacterium. RNAcentral's name for it is "partial 16S ribosomal RNA". It matches the Rfam family "Bacterial small subunit ribosomal RNA", at positions 524 to 776 of the family's 1533-position model. The record is from RNAcentral.
UACGUAGGGUGCAAGCGUUGUCCGGAAUUAUUGGGCGUAAAGGGCGCGUAGGCGGCCAUGCGUGUCUUCCGUGAAAUCCCUCGGCUUAACUGAGGACGUGCGGAAGAAACUGCAAGGCUCGAGUCCGGGAGAGGGGGGUGGAAUUCCCAGUGUAGCGGUGAAAUGCGUAGAUAUUGGGAGGAACACCGGUGGCGAAGGCGGCCCCCUGGACCGGUACUGACGCUGAGGCGCGAAAGCGUGGGUAGCAAACGGG